GACGAACGCUGGCGGCGUGCUUAACACAUGCAAGUCGAACGGAAAGGCCCUGCUUUUGUGGGGUGCUCGAGUGGCGAACGGGUGAGUAACACGUGAGUAACCUGCCCUUGACUUUGGGAUAACUUCAGGAAACUGGGGCUAAUACCGGAUAGGAGCUCCUGCUGCAUGGUGGGGGUUGGAAAGUUUCGGCGGUUGGGGAUGGACUCGCGGCUUAUCAGCUUGUUGGUGGGGUAGUGGCUUACCAAGGCUUUGACGGGUAGCCGGCCUGAGAGGGUGACCGGCCAAAUUGGGACUGAGAGACGGCCAAGACUCAUACGGGAGGCAGAAGUGGGGAAUAUUGCACAAGGGGCGGAAGCCUGAUGCAGCAACGCCGCGUGCGGGAUGACGGCCUUCGGGUUGUAAACCGCUUUCGCGUGUGACGAAGCGUGAGUGAGGGUAAUGGGUAAAGAAGCACCGGCUAACUACGU
This 467-nucleotide ribosomal RNA is filed under the name uncultured bacterium. RNAcentral's name for it is "partial 16S ribosomal RNA". It matches the Rfam family "Bacterial small subunit ribosomal RNA", at positions 28 to 506 of the family's 1533-position model. The record is from RNAcentral.